GAGGGUAUAGCUCAGUGGUAGAGCGCAUGCUUAGCACGCAUGCUUAGCACGCAUGAGGUCCUGGGUUCAUUCCCCAGUACCUCCA
Transfer RNA from Camelus ferus (Wild Bactrian camel), 85 nucleotides. It matches the Rfam family "tRNA". Rfam says of the family: Transfer RNA (tRNA) molecules are approximately 80 nucleotides in length. Their secondary structure includes four short double-helical elements and three loops (D, anti-codon, and T loops). NCBI's taxonomy places the organism in Eukaryota, Metazoa, Chordata, Mammalia, Artiodactyla, Camelidae. The record is from Rfam.